GACCCUGUCGUCUAGCCGGCCUAGGACACCAGCCUUUCACGCUGGUAACACGGGUUCGAAUCCCGUCAGGGUCGCCA
This 77-nucleotide transfer RNA is filed under the name Myxococcales bacterium. RNAcentral's name for it is "tRNA-Glu". It matches the Rfam family "tRNA". Rfam says of the family: Transfer RNA (tRNA) molecules are approximately 80 nucleotides in length. Their secondary structure includes four short double-helical elements and three loops (D, anti-codon, and T loops). Further hydrogen bonds mediate the characteristic L-shaped molecular structure. tRNAs have two regions of fundamental functional importance: the anti-codon, which is responsible for specific mRNA codon recognition, and the 3' end, to which the tRNAs corresponding amino acid is attached (by aminoacyl-tRNA synthetases). tRNAs cope with the degeneracy of the genetic code in two manners: having more than one tRNA (with a specific anti-codon) for a particular amino acid; and 'wobble' base-pairing, i.e. permitting non-standard base-pairing at the 3rd anti-codon position. Lineage: Bacteria; Pseudomonadati; Myxococcota; Myxococcia; Myxococcales. The record is from RNAcentral.